Molecule: ribosomal RNA, 497 nt
Filed under: uncultured bacterium
Lineage: Bacteria
Description: partial 16S ribosomal RNA
Rfam family: Bacterial small subunit ribosomal RNA
Source: RNAcentral
GAUGAACGCUGGCGGCGUGCCUAAUACAUGCAAGUCGAGCGAACAGACGAGGAGCUUGCUCCUCUGACGUUAGCGGCGGACGGGUGAGUAACACGUGGAUAACCUACCUAUAAGACUGGGAUAACUUCGGGAAACCGGAGCUAAUACCGGAUAAUAUAUUGAACCGCAUGGUUCAAUAGUGAAGGCCGGUUUUGCUGUCACUUAUAGAUGGAUCCGCGCCGCAUUAGCUAGUUGGUAAGGUAACGGCUUACCAAGGCGACGAUGCGUAGCCGACCUGAGAGGGUGAUCGGCCACACUGGAACUGAGACACGGUCCAGACUCCUACGGGAGGCAGCAGUAGGGAAUCUUCCGCAAUGGGCGAAAGCCUGACGGAGCAACGCCGCGUGAGUGAUGAAGGUCUUCGGAUCGUAAAACUCUGUUAUUAGGGAAGAACAAAUGUGUAAGUAACUAUGCACGUCUUGACGGUACCUAAUCAGAAAGCCACGGCUAACUACGUG